This is a non-coding RNA of Podarcis lilfordi (Lilford's wall lizard), 152 nucleotides long. Lineage: Eukaryota; Metazoa; Chordata; Lepidosauria; Squamata; Lacertidae. The record is from the annotation of a GenBank genome assembly.
UUGAACUGAAGAUCUGAAAUACUUUGGUUCAGAAGGUUAAACUACUUCUCUUUUUGAGUGUAACUGAUAAUUUUACAGAGCUCUACUUCUAGAUAGCUGUGUGUAUGUGUGUGUGUGUGUGUGUGUGUGUGUGUGCAGGCCACCUAUUCAGA